GUAGUUGCCAAGGACAGAUCCAGGAACUGA
Molecule: non-coding RNA, 30 nt
Filed under: Rattus norvegicus (Norway rat)
Lineage: Eukaryota; Metazoa; Chordata; Mammalia; Rodentia; Muridae
Source: RNAcentral